Molecule: ribosomal RNA, 259 nt
Filed under: uncultured prokaryote
Description: partial 16S ribosomal RNA
Rfam family: Bacterial small subunit ribosomal RNA
Source: RNAcentral
UACGGAGGAUGCGAGCGUUAUCCGGAUUUACUGGGUGUAAAGGGAGCGCAGACGGAACUGCAAGUCUGAUGUGAAAGCCCGGGGCUCAACCGCGGGACUGCAAGACUUGAGUGCAGGAGAGGAGAGUGGAAUUCCUAGUGUAGCGGUGAAAUGCGUAGAUAUUAGGAGGAACACCAGUAGCGAAGGCGGCUCUCUGGACUGUAACUGACGCUGAGGCACGAAAGCGUGGGGAGCAAACAGGAUUAGAUACCCCGGUAGU